This 407-nucleotide ribosomal RNA is filed under the name uncultured microorganism. Its description in RNAcentral is "bacterial SSU rRNA". It matches the Rfam family "Bacterial small subunit ribosomal RNA", at positions 509 to 917 of the family's 1533-position model. The record is from RNAcentral.
CAGCCGCCGCGGUAAUACGUAGGGUGCAAGCGUUAAUCGGACUUACUGGGCGUAAAGCGUGCGCAGGCGGUUCGGAAAGAAAGAUGUGAAAUCCCAGAGCUUAACUUUGGAACUGCAUUUUUAACUACCGGGCUAGAGUGUGUCAGAGGGAGGUGGAAUUCCGCGUGUAGCAGUGAAAUGCGUAGAUAUGCGGAGGAACACCGAUGGCGAAGGCAGCCUCCUGGGAUAACACUGACGCUCAUGCACGAAAGCGUGGGGAGCAAACAGGAUUAGAUACCCUGGUAGUCCACGCCCUAAACGAUGUCAACUAGCUGUUGGGGCCUUCGGGCCUUGGUAGCGCAGCUAACGCGUGAAGUUGACCGCCUGGGGAGUACGGUCGCAAGAUUAAAACUUAAAGGAAUGGCGGG